GCGACCAAUUCGGGGUCGGGCACAGAUAGGUCUUUCUGAUGAGUUGAAGAGACGACAGGGUGCUUGUCUUGGUCGGGCGAGUGGAGAGAGAAGGGGGGUUCUUGUCUCGUGCCGGCGGCAGCGGAGCUAGACGGGGCAGGUCCGUAGAGGCCGCUGUGCUGCCUGUGGAUGUCUAAGGGGAGCAGAGGGAGAUGGUAAAGGGGGAUAAAUAAACUCGGCAGCGGCGGUUUUUGUAGCGGUGGUGAGUUAGGAUCGCGGCGGACUUGGUGCAGGCCACCCGAACGGUGGCCGGCGUCACCGUUGCUGCAGAGGUACGGAUGUAGGAGGGGGGUCGCGUCGGUGUGCGUGUUCCGCACGUCGGUACCCGCAGCCCGCACACGCCGAAGUGGCCGCGACGAGCCAACGGUACCGAAACGACGAUUGCCACACCUCAUCGGUGUAGGAUAACGAUGAUGACCAUUUAUCUAGUUCCACUUAUCUACGAAUACCUGACUAAGUUUGGCUCCACCUCUAUCUAUUCUUUAGUUCGUUCUUCCCGAUUGUGUUGUUCCAUGAACUAAUCAUGGACCACCGUGUACGUUGGGUUUCUCGAAGUGUUGUCCCCUCCUAUCGUCACACCGUCUUCCACUCUUCCGUCUCGCAAAAGAGGUCGCCUACUAACACACACCGGUGUCACUUUCCCUACCGAGGAUAAAUAUCACCCCACUUAUCGAUACAGCCAAACCUCUCCGUAAUGUAGACCGUACGUACGCACCAAUCAGAACGUACGUACGGAGGUGAACACAGAGAACACCCGACAUGAUCCCUGUUCACAUUAAACGAACCGACCGGUAAUCAACCGUAAAUGAAACACACUUCCUUUACUCUGUUCCCAGAUAUUUUAUAUCCUUCCAAACCUCUUCUUAACAACACGUACUGAUUUACGAUAAACGACAUUAUUUUUAUUAUUAAUUCACAUCAAUAAAGAUAAUAAAAUUAUUUACAAAACCGUUGCGG
Molecule: ribosomal RNA, 996 nt
Filed under: Triticum aestivum (bread wheat)
Lineage: Eukaryota; Viridiplantae; Streptophyta; Magnoliopsida; Poales; Poaceae
Description: partial small subunit ribosomal RNA
Source: RNAcentral